GAGCUUGACCCCUUUGCAGGCUAAAGGACUUCUUGAGGAUGAUGAGGUUGGUUUUGCCUACAUAAGUCAGCAUGAAGCUUGCCCAUCUCUGUAUGAAAUCCAAUAUUCAUUGAUUGGGUUGAGGGAGCAUAUAAAGAAACGCCCCCCACUAGCAACAACCGAAAAGGUUCAACAAUUUGUGAGGGCUCGGGGAAGGGAAGCAAUUGUUGCUGGAUUCUAUCAUGAAGGUUAUGAGGAGUCUCUUUUAAUGCUAAUGAAAAGAAGAGGUGUUCAUUCUGGUUUGGUGGUGAAGGGUGAGGAAGGGGCUCUUUCAAUGACAACAAGAUUGCGUUCUGCAAAUGCAUCAAAAGGACUCCCUGUGAACUAUUGUUCAGGGUUUCGUUCAUUGAGCAUGGCUUCUGCUUUUGAAGUUGAUGGAGUGUCACGUGAGAGUUUCAAUAUUGAGGUUAAUGCCAAGGACUAUGGUUUUGAACCCACUGAUACGCCAAGAACUGAUAGAUCGGUCUCCAAGAAUAUACAGCUGGGUUUAGCAGCUCUUCGUGGUGAAAAAGGUCCAGCAUAUGAUCGGAUUGUUCUAAAUGCGGGAAUGGUGGAUCACUUGCUGAGAUGUGAUGGUGCAGAAGAUAUCUCCUCAGCCCUGGACAGAGCCAGAGAGGCCAUUGACAUGGUAGGGCUCUUAAAAAGCUAUUAAAUUACAUAAAUAUCUCUCACAAAGUUAGGUAAAUGGGGCCCAAUUGGUGCUUGCUAACUUCAAUUUGCAUCAGAUUUUUGUUUGUGGUGUUGUAAAUUUUACAAUUUUUCAUGUUUCUGAACAUUGAGAUGAAGAAGAAGAAGAAGAAGAAGA
This 844-nucleotide unclassified non-coding RNA is filed under the name Hevea brasiliensis (rubber tree). Lineage: Eukaryota; Viridiplantae; Streptophyta; Magnoliopsida; Malpighiales; Euphorbiaceae. The record is from RNAcentral.